RNAcentral lists this ribosomal RNA (500 nucleotides) under uncultured bacterium. RNAcentral describes it as "partial 16S ribosomal RNA". It matches the Rfam family "Bacterial small subunit ribosomal RNA", at positions 30 to 523 of the family's 1533-position model. The record is from RNAcentral.
AUUGAACGCUGGCGGCAGGCUUAACACAUGCAAGUCGAGCGGAGAUGAGGUGCUUGCACCUUAUCUUAGCGGCGGACGGGUGAGUAAUGCUUAGGAAUCUGCCUAUUAGUGGGGGACAACAUUCCGAAAGGAAUGCUAAUACCGCAUACGUCCUACGGGAGAAAGCAGGGGAUCUUCGGACCUUGCGCUAAUAGAUGAGCCUAAGUCGGAUUAGCUAGUUGGUGGGGUAAAGGCCUACCAAGGCGACGAUCUGUAGCGGGUCUGAGAGGAUGAUCCGCCACACUGGCACUGAGACACGGCCCAGACUCCUACGGGAGGCAGCAGUGGGGAAUAUUGGACAUGGGGGAAACCCUAAUCCAGCCAUGCCGCGUGUGUGAAGAAGGCCUUAUGGUUGUAAAGCACUUUAAGCGAGGAGGAGGCUACUGAGACUAAUACUCUUGGAUAGUGGACGUUACUCGCAGAAUAAGCACCGGCUAACUCUGUGCCAGCCGCCGCGGUAA